CCUACGGGAGGCAGCAGUGGGGAAUAUUGCACAAUGGGGGAAACCCUGAUGCAGCGACGCCGCGUGAGUGAAGAAGUAUCUCGGUACGUAAAGCUCUAUCAGCAGGGAAGAAAAUGACGGUACCUGACUAAGAAGCCCCGGCUAACUACGUGCCAGCAGCCCCGGUAAUACGUAGGGGGCAAGCGUUAACCGGAAUUACUGGGUGUAAAGGGAGCGUAGACGGCAGCACAAGUCUGGAGUGAAAGCCCGGGGCUUAACCCCGGAACUGCUUUGGAAACUGUGCGGCUGGAGUGCAGGAGGGGGGAGCGGAAUUCCUGGUGUAGCGGUGAAAUGCGUAGAGAUUAGGAGGAACACCGGUGGCGAAGGCGGCUUACUGGACUGUAACUGACGUUGAGGUUCGAAAGCGUGGGGAGCAAACAGGAAUAGAUACCCUAGUAGUC
This 440-nucleotide ribosomal RNA is filed under the name uncultured bacterium. Its description in RNAcentral is "partial 16S ribosomal RNA". It matches the Rfam family "Bacterial small subunit ribosomal RNA", at positions 338 to 795 of the family's 1533-position model. The record is from RNAcentral.